Molecule: ribosomal RNA, 354 nt
Filed under: uncultured Entomoplasmataceae bacterium
Lineage: Bacteria; Bacillati; Mycoplasmatota; Mollicutes; Entomoplasmatales; Entomoplasmataceae
Description: bacterial SSU rRNA
Rfam family: Bacterial small subunit ribosomal RNA
Source: RNAcentral
AAAGGCAUAGAGAUAUGCUGGAGGCUAACAUUGAGACAGGUGGUGCAUGGUUGUCGUCAGUUCGUGCCGUGAGGUGUUUGGUUAAGUCCAGUAACGAACGCAACCCUUAUCAUUAGUUACUAACAUUAAGUUGAGGACUCUAAUGAGACUGCUAGUGUAAGCUAGAGGAAGGUGGGGAUGACGUCAAAUCAUCAUGCCCCUUAUGUCCUGGGCUACACACGUGCUACAAUGGCUGAUACAAAGAGUCGCAAUCUCGUGAGGAGGAGCUAAUCUCAUAAAAUCAGUCUCAGUUCGGAUUGAAGGCUGCAACUCGCCUUCAUGAAGCCGGAAUCACUAGUAAUCGCGAAUCAGCUA